CCUACGGGUGGCAGCAGUGGGGGAUAUUGCACAAUGGGGGAAACCCUGAUGCAGCGACGCCGCGUGAGUGAAGAAGUAUUUCGGUAUGUAAAGCACUAUCAGCAGGGAAGAAAAUGACAGUACCUGACCAAGAAGCACCGGAUAACUACGUGACAGCAGCCGCGGUAAUACGUAGGGGGCAAGCGGUAUCCGGAUUUACUGGGUGUAAAGGGAGCGUAGAUGGUUAGGUAAGUCUGGAGUGAAAGCCCGGGGCCCAACCUCGGGACUGCUUUGGAUACUGUGUGACUGGAGUACAGUAGGGGCAGGUGGAAUUCCUGGUGUAGCGGUGAAAUGCGUAGAGAUCAGGAGGAACACCGGCGGCGAAGGCGGCCUGCUGGACUAAAACUGACGUUGAGGCGCGAAAGCGUGGGGAGCAAACAGGAUUAGAUACCCGGGUAGUC
This 440-nucleotide ribosomal RNA is filed under the name uncultured bacterium. Its description in RNAcentral is "partial 16S ribosomal RNA". It matches the Rfam family "Bacterial small subunit ribosomal RNA", at positions 338 to 795 of the family's 1533-position model. The record is from RNAcentral.